UAUGUGAUCGUCUCUCGCAUAUCAAUAAGCGGAGGAAAAGAAACUAACAAGGAUUCCCCUAGUAACGGCGAGUGAAGCGGGAAGAGCUCAAAUUUGAAAUCUUAAAGGGUUUCCCUUUACGAAUUGUAGUUUAAAGAAGUGUUUUCUGUUGAGGUUUUGGUAAAAGUUCUUUGGAAUAGGACAUCAUAGAGGGUGAGAAUCCCGUAUUUGACCUUUACUUUCAACUUUGUGAUACACUUUCGAAGAGUCGGAUUGUUUGGGAAUGCAGUCCAAAAUGGGUGGUAAAUUUCAUCUAAAGCUAAAUAUUGGCGAGAGACCGAUAGCGAACAAGUACCGUGAGGGAAAGAUGAAAAGAACUUUGAAAAGAGAGUUAAACAGUACGUGAAAUUGUCAAAAGGGAAGCGUUUGACACCAGUGUUGUUUUUCUGAAAAUCAAUUAAAGAACUGUUUAUGCUAAGCUGUUUAGACUUUAUCAGCUAACUGUUUAGUUUUGAGCUUUUCUUUAAUGCACUUUUCAGUUAACAAGUCAACAUCAAUUUCUUUUGCUGUAAAAAAGCUUGAGGAAGGUGGCUUGAGAUUCGUCUUAAGUGUUUAUAGCCUCUUGCCUAUGCAGUCGGAGAGAUUGAGGUCUGCAGCGUAGAUCCUUCGGGGCUAAAUGCAUUUGUGCUAAGUUAUAGCAUUUUAUAGACAACUUGUUGACUAUGAUUUGUCUUGUAGCUUACUCGCUUAUGUUAUUUUACCUACGCUUAGGAUGUUGAGUAGCGACAUACGCAC
This 774-nucleotide ribosomal RNA is filed under the name uncultured Neocallimastigales. RNAcentral describes it as "partial large subunit ribosomal RNA". It matches the Rfam family "Eukaryotic large subunit ribosomal RNA", at positions 24 to 649 of the family's 3401-position model. The record is from RNAcentral. Lineage: Eukaryota; Fungi; Neocallimastigomycota; Neocallimastigomycetes; Neocallimastigales.